RNAcentral lists this ribosomal RNA (492 nucleotides) under uncultured bacterium. RNAcentral describes it as "partial 16S ribosomal RNA". It matches the Rfam family "Bacterial small subunit ribosomal RNA", at positions 28 to 507 of the family's 1533-position model. The record is from RNAcentral.
GAUGAACGCUAGCUACAGGCUUAACACAUGCAAGUCGAGGGGAAACGACAUCGAAAGCUUGCUUUUGAUGGGCGUCGACCGGCGCACGGGUGAGUAACGCGUAUCCAACCUGCCCAUCACUUGGGAAUAACCUUGCGAAAGUAAGACUAAUACCCAAUGACAUCCCACGAAGACAUCUGAAUGGGAUUAAAGAUUUAUCGGUGAUGGAUGGGGAUGCGUCUGAUUAGCUUGUUGGCGGGGUAACGGCCCACCAAGGCAACGAUCAGUAGGGGUUCUGAGAGGAAGGUCCCCCAGAGUGGAACUGAGACACAGUCCAAACUCCUACGGGAGGCAGCAGUGAGGAAGAUUGGUCAAUGGGCGAGAGCCUGAACCAGCCAAGUAGCGUGCAGGAUGACGGCCCUAUGGGUUGUAAACUGCUUUUAUAAGGGAAUAAAGUGGGUCUCGUGAGACUUUUUGCAUGUACCUUAUGAAUAAGGACCGGCUAAUUCCGUG